This 359-nucleotide transfer-messenger RNA is filed under the name Campylobacter jejuni. It matches the Rfam family "transfer-messenger RNA". From Rfam's summary of the family: Bacterial tmRNA, also known as 10Sa RNA or SsrA, is named for its dual tRNA and mRNA-like properties. Its role is to liberate the mRNA from a stalled ribosome. RNAcentral also lists the same sequence under 2 other names. Lineage: Bacteria; Pseudomonadati; Campylobacterota; Epsilonproteobacteria; Campylobacterales; Campylobacteraceae. The record is from RNAcentral.
GGGAGCGACUUGGCUUCGACAGGAGUAAGUCUGCUUAGAUGGCAUGUCGCUUUGGGCAAAGCGUAAAAAGCCCAAAUAAAAUUAAACGCAAACAACGUUAAAUUCGCUCCUGCUUACGCUAAAGCUGCGUAAGUUCAGUCGAGCCUGAAAUUUAAGUCAUACUAUCUAGCUUAAUUUUCGGUCAUUUUUGAUAGUGUAGCCUUGCGUUUGACAAGCGUUUAGGUGAAAUAAAGUCUUAGCCUUGCUUUUGAGUUUUGGAAGAUGAGCGAAGUAGGGUGAAGUAGUCAUCUUUACUAAGCAUGUAGAGGUCUUUGUGGGAUUAUUUUUGGACAGGGGUUCGAUUCCCCUCGCUUCCACCA